UGCCCAGCAACUCCUAUCCCUGCCUCCUCGCGGUAUUGGCCGGGGUACGAGAAACCUAAGGGAAGAUCGGGUAACCAACCCCGGUGGAAAGCAUACGACCAAGCUGAUAGGGUAGG
This 116-nucleotide ribozyme is filed under the name Aedes aegypti (yellow fever mosquito). Its description in RNAcentral is "drz-agam-1 ribozyme". It matches the Rfam family "drz-agam-1 ribozyme". The record is from Rfam by way of RNAcentral. Lineage: Eukaryota; Metazoa; Arthropoda; Insecta; Diptera; Culicidae.